RNAcentral lists this long non-coding RNA (370 nucleotides) under Erythranthe guttata (spotted monkey flower). RNAcentral describes it as "long non-coding RNA (EGUT_LNC001007)". The record is from RNAcentral. Lineage: Eukaryota; Viridiplantae; Streptophyta; Magnoliopsida; Lamiales; Phrymaceae.
UUGUUCACACAUUUCUGCUAUAUAUCCAACAAUUCAGACUCCCACAAGUUAGUUUUUGCUAUUUUACGAACAUUUUAGAAAAUUAAUAUCAAAUCAUAGAAAUUUCGGAUUAGAAUUCCGUAAAUUGCUUUGUUCACAAAAUUACGAGAUCUAGUAGAAUUAGGCUCUAAAUCGUUUUGCUAUUUUUGAUAAAUUUUAGUAUUUUCAUAGUUUAAUUAGGGUUUUCAAUUUUAUUAAUAUAAAAAGCUACCUUAGGACUUUAUUUUGGGGAGGAUUUCAAGUUUUAAUAAAAUAUAAGUUUUUUUAUAUUUUCUGAUAGAAAUAAAAUAUAAGUUUUUUUAUAUUUCCUGAUAGAUUCCAGAGUUUUCGG